AGCAGUAGCCGCGGUAAUACGUAGGGUGCGAGCGUUAAUCGGAAUUACUGGGCGUAAAGCGUGCGCAGGCGGUUCUGUAAGACAGAGGUGAAAUCCCCGGGCUCAACCUGGGAACUGCCUUUGUGACUGCAAGGCUAGAGUACGGCAGAGGGGGAUGGAAUUCCGCGUGUAGCAGUGAAAUGCGUAGAUAUGCGGAGGAACACCGAUGGCGAAGGCAAUCCCCUGGGCCUGUACUGACGCUCAUGCACGAAAGCGUGGGGAGCAAACAGGAUUAGAUACCCCAGUAGUCCCUGUCUCUUAUAC
Molecule: ribosomal RNA, 303 nt
Filed under: uncultured bacterium
Lineage: Bacteria
Description: partial 16S ribosomal RNA
Rfam family: Bacterial small subunit ribosomal RNA
Source: RNAcentral